UACGGGAGGCAGCAGUGGGGAAUAUUGGACAGUGGGGGGAACCCUGAUCCAGCCAUGCCGCGUGUGUGAAGAAGGCCUUUUGGUUGUAAAGCACUUUAAGCGAGGAGGAGGCUACUAGUAUUAAUACUACUGGAUAGUGGACGUUACUCGCAGAAUAAGCACCGGCUAACUCUGUGCCAGCAGCCGCGGUAAU
This 193-nucleotide ribosomal RNA is filed under the name uncultured bacterium. RNAcentral's name for it is "partial 16S ribosomal RNA". It matches the Rfam family "Bacterial small subunit ribosomal RNA", at positions 340 to 524 of the family's 1533-position model. The record is from RNAcentral.